UCCGGUUUGUCACCGGCAGUCCCAUUAGAGUGCUCAACUGAAUGUAGCAACUAAUGGCAAGGGUUGCGCUCGUUGCGGGACUUAACCCAACAUCUCACGACACGAGCUGACGACAGCCAUGCAGCACCUGUGCAUGGGCUCCGAAGAGAGGCCGGCGUUUCUGCCGGCUGUCCCAUGCAUGUCAAGACCUGGUAAGGUUCUUCGCGUUGCUUCGAAUUAAUCCACAUAAUCCACCGCUUGUGCGGGUCCCCGUCAAUUCCUUUGAGUUUUAAUCUUGCGACCGUACUCCCCAGGCGGAUGACUUCACGCGUUAGCUGCGUUACUAAAGGAUUUAACUCCUCCAACAACUAGUCAUCAUCGUUUAGGGCGUGGACUAC
Molecule: unclassified non-coding RNA, 377 nt
Filed under: uncultured Gammaproteobacteria bacterium
Lineage: Bacteria; Pseudomonadati; Pseudomonadota; Gammaproteobacteria
Description: contains 16S-23S intergenic spacer region
Source: RNAcentral